RNAcentral lists this long non-coding RNA (1190 nucleotides) under Mytilus galloprovincialis (Mediterranean mussel). Lineage: Eukaryota; Metazoa; Mollusca; Bivalvia; Mytilida; Mytilidae. The record is from RNAcentral.
GGUUGGAUAUAUUUAGAAUAUCUCGUCAUACUGAUUUUUCCGGAUUGUAAAAGAAACGUAAAUAGUGUAAAGGAGAGCUCAAUAUACGAUAAUUUCGAAAGAAACAGAAGGGAAAUGUGUAAAAAAGUGUUUAAAGUCAAUUUAUUCAUUUGUGUCUCCCCAUCUCAUCAUUCUCAGUAAGAUUUUUUGGGGGGUUUUCCACAUAAAAACAAAAUGAAUGAUGUGAGGGAAUGUCACUCUGGUCAACCCCAUUGGGGAUUGACGGCUUGAAGCCGUUUUCCCCAAAAACUGGAACAAGAAUGUGUCCACAGUACUAUGUUCAGUGGACCGUGAAGUUGGGGUCAAAACUUUAAUUUGGCAUUUAAAUUAGAAAGAUCAUAUCAUAGGGAACAUGUGAACUAAGUUUCAAGUUGAUUGGACUUCAACUUCAUCAAAAACUACCUUGACCAAAAACUUUAACCUUAACUUCGCACUAUCAUUUUCUAUGUUCAGUGGACCAUGAAAUUGGGGUCAAAACUUUAAUUUGGCAUUAAAAUUAGAAAGAUCAUAUCAUGGGGAACAUGUGUACUAAGUUUAAAGUUGACUUCAACUUCAUCAAAAACUACCUUGACCAAAAACUUUAGCCUGAAGUGGGGCGAACGGACGUCGGACAAACGAAUAGACGGACCAUUGGACGUACAGACCAGAAAACAUAAUGCCCCUCUACUAUCAAAGGUGGGGCAUACAAAUACAGUUUUAUUUCUAGCAAGGCUAAGGGAAUUUGAUUGGUUAACAUAGAAGAAAAUGUAAAUUUAACUAGCCUGUUAGCCGUGGCUAGCCAUCUGUAGUUUAUUCCAGAUUUAAAAAAAUUACUAGUUUCAAAUAAUUCCUUGUUUAAAACAAAACAACAAUAAAACUACUAAUAUAACUACAUAUAGAAAACACAUAUAUUGCACUAACCAAUGUGUGAAAACUUGGCACCAUAUAUAACUGGUACUUAAUUUGGGUAUUCAACCUUGUAAGAGUAUCAAAUCUUCAACUUCAAAAACAACAUAAUGGCACAGUAAUUCAUCUCAAUAUCAACACUUUUCAUUGCUAUCUCUAUUUAGUAGAUGAAUAAUUUGCCCUUCAUCUGUAUUAUCUUUAUAUAAUUCCAGAAACAUUGCUAUGAAGUUCAACUUAAAGGUUUUUGAAAAUUUACUUUCAUUAUA